Molecule: ribosomal RNA, 258 nt
Filed under: uncultured archaeon
Lineage: Archaea
Description: partial 16S ribosomal RNA
Rfam family: Archaeal small subunit ribosomal RNA
Source: RNAcentral
CAGCCGUAAACUAUGCGCGUUAGGUGUAUCGGUGACCACGAGUUACCGAGGUGCCGAAGGGAAACCGUGAAACGUGCCGCCUGGGAAGUACGGUCGCAAGGCUGAAACUUAAAGGAAUUGGCGGGGGAGCACCACAACAGGUGGAGCCUGCGGUUUAAUUGGACUCAACGCCGGGAAGCUCACCGGAUAGGACAGCAGAAUGAUUGCCGGGCUGAAGACUCUACUUGAUGAUCUGAGAGGAGGUGCAUGGCGUCAGUG